UAAAACUCUCACGGUCACCCAAUGACAGUCAGUCCCUAGGAGUCCUGGAAUGGCUGUAAAUCCACCAUUUCCUGCAAUUCAUCAAAACCUGGUCUUUAAAUGGUUUUGACUUUCUUCAGAAACGUCACCAUAUAUCACAGCGUGGCAGUCCCCUGUGCCCCUCUUCCUCUGUAUGGCUGGGUUGCCUUUCAGACAAGCGUUUUAUGUCAAGCGUGGAUGCUUUGGACGUUCUAGGAAGAAAGCUGGGAACCCCGAGAUCUCAAUCUCGGGCUCUCUCUGAUGCCCUACCUAAACACCAAGGAAAUGUGUGGUAGUCCUGGGGAUUGGUGGCACCAUUCAAGGCUCUCAUAUUUCAUGUUCCAGCCAGCUCACCUUCCACAUCUUCUAUGAGCUGCAUUCACUUAGGACCCUGUACCCAGACGUGAUUUGGGUCCUCAAAGAUUCUUGAACUGACCUUCUCCAUGUUGGAACAGAAAGAUGUCUAUAAUUAAGUGAGUCCAUAAUUUAUGUCGGCAGCCAGCAGCCCCAAACGUCACACCCAUUGUCUCCCCACCACACCCGGAUAUUGCAAUUGAUACUAAUUGUAAAUAGCAUUGGCUGAGUA
Mastomys coucha (southern multimammate mouse) is the source of this 604-nucleotide long non-coding RNA. RefSeq lists it as uncharacterized. The record is from RefSeq and is a predicted model, not a curated record. Lineage: Eukaryota; Metazoa; Chordata; Mammalia; Rodentia; Muridae. The transcript has 3 exons.